RNAcentral lists this ribosomal RNA (467 nucleotides) under uncultured bacterium. Its description in RNAcentral is "partial 16S ribosomal RNA". It matches the Rfam family "Bacterial small subunit ribosomal RNA", at positions 29 to 507 of the family's 1533-position model. The record is from RNAcentral.
ACGAACGCUGGCGGCGUGCUUAACACCUGCCAGUCGAACGGAAAGGCCCUGCUUUUGUGGGGUUCUCGAGUGGCGAACGGGUGAGUAACACGUGAGUAACCUGCCCUUGACUUUGGGAUAACUUCAGGAAACUGGGGCUAAUACCGGAUAGGAGCUCCUGCUGCAUGGUGGGGGUUGGAAAGUUUCGGCGGUUGGGGAUGGACUCGCGGCUUAUCAGCUUGUUGGUGGGGUAGUGGCUUACCAAGGCUUUGACGGGUAGCCGGCCUGAGAGGGUGACCGGCCACAUUGGGACUGAGAUACGGCCCAGACUCCUACGGGAGGCAGCAGUGGGGAAUAUUGCACAAUGGGCGGAAGCCUGAUGCAGCAACGCCGCGUGCGGGAUGACGGCCUUCGGGUUGUAAACCGCUUUCGCCUGUGACGAAGCGUGAGUGACGGUAAUGGGUAAAGAAGCACCGGCUAACUACGUG